CCUACGGGUGGCAGCAGUGAGGAAUAUUGGUCAAUGGGCGGGAGCCUGAACCAGCCAAGCCGCGUGAGGGAAGAAGGUACAGCGUAUCGUAAACCUCUUUUGUCAGGGAACAAAGGCGGGGACUAGUCCCCGGAUGAGGGUACCUGAAGAAACAGCAUCGGCUAACUCCGUGCCAGCAGCCGCGGUAAAAGGGGGGAUGCGAGCGUUAUCGGGUUUUAUUGGGUUUAAAGGGUGCGCAGGGGGCCUGUUAAGUCAGCGGUAAAAGCCCGGGGUUCAACCCCGGAGAGCCGUUGAAACUGGGGGGCUGGAGUUGGGAAGAGGUACGCGGAAUGCGAGGUGUAGCGGUGAAAUGCGUAGAUAUCGCGCAGAACCCCGAUGGCGAAGGCAGCGUACCGGCUCCACACUGACGCUGAGGCACGAAAGCGUGGGUAUCGAACAGGAUUAGAUACCCUUGUAGUC
This 459-nucleotide ribosomal RNA is filed under the name uncultured bacterium. Its description in RNAcentral is "partial 16S ribosomal RNA". It matches the Rfam family "Bacterial small subunit ribosomal RNA", at positions 338 to 795 of the family's 1533-position model. The record is from RNAcentral.